Molecule: long non-coding RNA, 223 nt
Organism: Melopsittacus undulatus (budgerigar)
Lineage: Eukaryota; Metazoa; Chordata; Aves; Psittaciformes; Psittaculidae
Exons: 2
Source: RefSeq, a predicted model, not a curated record
AGAAGACAGGGCAGUACCUAGUGGGAUGAAGAAGCUAUGCAAAUAAACAUGGACUAAUCCAUUACCAUGCACUAUAAUGGAUGGACAUCCUGGUCACUGUGGAGCAGUAACAACUUUACCUAGUGACUGAAGCAAGAUGAGGUGAAGACCCAGAAAUUUCAGAGCAGUACACACCAUAGAAGCAGGAUAUGUCAGCUUAAUAAAUAGGCCAUGUUUAAGGAUA